GCCUCCUUGGUGUAUUGGAAGCACAUGACUCUUCUAAAGUUAGUGACAAGGUUCGACUCCUUGAGGGGGUAC
RNAcentral lists this transfer RNA (72 nucleotides) under uncultured phage cr106_1. Its description in RNAcentral is "crAssphage cr106_1 tRNA-Arg". It matches the Rfam family "tRNA". Rfam says of the family: Transfer RNA (tRNA) molecules are approximately 80 nucleotides in length. Their secondary structure includes four short double-helical elements and three loops (D, anti-codon, and T loops). The record is from RNAcentral. Lineage: Duplodnaviria; Heunggongvirae; Uroviricota; Caudoviricetes; Crassvirales; Steigviridae.